GACGAAGGGGGCUAGCGUUGUUCGGAAUUACUGGGCGUAAAGCGCGUGUAGGCGGUUAUCCAAGUCGGGUGUGAAAGCCUUGAGCUCAACUCAAGAAAUGCACUCGGUACUGGGUGACUAGAGGACCGGAGAGGAUAGUGGAAUUCCCAGUGUAGUGGUGAAAUGCGUAGAGAUCGGCAGGAACACCCAGGGGGAAACCAGUCGACUGGGCAUCUACUGACGCUGAGGUGCGAGAGCGUGGGGAGCGAACCGG
This 253-nucleotide ribosomal RNA is filed under the name uncultured bacterium. RNAcentral's name for it is "partial 16S ribosomal RNA". It matches the Rfam family "Bacterial small subunit ribosomal RNA", at positions 524 to 776 of the family's 1533-position model. The record is from RNAcentral.